RNAcentral lists this ribosomal RNA (446 nucleotides) under uncultured bacterium. Its description in RNAcentral is "bacterial SSU rRNA". It matches the Rfam family "Bacterial small subunit ribosomal RNA", at positions 329 to 792 of the family's 1533-position model. The record is from RNAcentral.
GGCCAGACUCCUACGGGAGGCAGCAGUGGGGAAUAUUGCACAAUGGGGGAAACCCCGAUGCAGCGACGCCGCGUGAGUGAAGAAGUAUUUCGGUAUGUAAAGCUCUAUCAGCAGGGAAGAAAAUGACGGUACCUGACUAAGAAGCCCCGGCUAACUACGUGCCAGCAGCCGCGGUAAUACGUAGGGGGCAAGCGUUAUCCGGAUUUACUGGGUGUAAAGGGAGCGUAGACGGCAUGGCAAGUCAGAUGUGAAAGCCCGGGGCUCAACCCCGGGACUGCAUUUGAAACUGUCAGGCUGGAGUGCAGGAGAGGUAAGUGGAAUUCCUAGUGUAGCGGUGAAAUGCGUAGAUAUUAGGAAGAACACCAGUGGCGAAGGCGGCUUACUGGACUGUAACUGACGUUGAGGCUCGAAAGCGUGGGGAGCAAACAGGAUUAGAUACCCCAGUA